This 253-nucleotide ribosomal RNA is filed under the name uncultured bacterium. Its description in RNAcentral is "partial 16S ribosomal RNA". It matches the Rfam family "Bacterial small subunit ribosomal RNA", at positions 524 to 776 of the family's 1533-position model. The record is from RNAcentral.
GACGUAGGGCGCGAGCGUUGUCCGGAUUUAUUGGGCGUAAAGAGCUCGUAGGCGGUUUGUCGCGUCGUCUGUGAAAACCCACGGCUCAACUGUGGGCUUGCAGUCGAUACGGGCAGGCUAGAGUUCGGUAGGGGAGACUGGAAUUCCUGGUGUAGCGGUGAAAUGCGCAGAUAUCAGGAGGAACACCGGUGGCGAAGGCGGGUCUCUGGGCCGAUACUGACGCUGAGGAGCGAAAGCGUGGGGAGCGAUCCGG